RNAcentral lists this ribosomal RNA (253 nucleotides) under uncultured bacterium. RNAcentral's name for it is "partial 16S ribosomal RNA". It matches the Rfam family "Bacterial small subunit ribosomal RNA", at positions 524 to 776 of the family's 1533-position model. The record is from RNAcentral.
UACGUAGGGUGCAAGCGUUGUCCGGAAUUAUUGGGCGUAAAGGGCUCGUAGGCGGUUUGUCGCGUCGGGAGUGAAAACACUGGGCUUAACUCAGUGCUUGCUUCCGAUACGGGCAGACUAGAGGUAUGCAGGGGAGAACGGAAUUCCUGGUGUAGCGGUGAAAUGCGCAGAUAUCAGGAGGAACACCGGUGGCGAAGGCGGUUCUCUGGGCAUUACCUGACGCUGAGGAGCGAAAGUGUGGGGAGCGAACAGG